ACCAUUUGUUUUUCUUAUGCCCUUACUCACAACAGGUUUGGAGAACACUAGUUCAAGGGAUCAUGCUUCACAGGUUUACUACAAAGUGGGAAGACGUGAUGAAAAUUCUUGCAAGCAGAGACUUAGACAAAGGAAAGCGAUUCUUGCUAGAAUAUACUUUUCAGAAUGCCAUACACGUCAUCUGGGGGGAGCGGAAUAAGAGACGACACGGAGAACAACAGUUUACACCGGAAAAGCUAGUCAAGUUAAUAGACAAGAAUGUACGUAAUCGGGUGAGUACUAU
RNAcentral lists this small RNA (283 nucleotides) under Arabidopsis thaliana (thale cress). Its description in RNAcentral is "ATSL172690". The record is from RNAcentral. Lineage: Eukaryota; Viridiplantae; Streptophyta; Magnoliopsida; Brassicales; Brassicaceae.